RNAcentral lists this small nucleolar RNA (100 nucleotides) under Daucus carota subsp. sativus. RNAcentral describes it as "sRNA DCAR_sn00112". It matches the Rfam family "Small nucleolar RNA Z161/Z228". From Rfam's summary of the family: Z161 and Z228 are members of the C/D class of snoRNA which contain the C (UGAUGA) and D (CUGA) box motifs. Most of the members of the box C/D family function in directing site-specific 2'-O-methylation of substrate RNAs. Lineage: Eukaryota; Viridiplantae; Streptophyta; Magnoliopsida; Apiales; Apiaceae. The record is from Rfam by way of RNAcentral.
GAUUCAGUUGAUGAUAUGGAUGUCAAAUUCUCACGACGGUCGUCUGAAGAGGCACUUUUGUAGUGUCUGCUGAUUGAGAUUUAUAUCCUUUCUGAUGAUU